GAUGAAGAACGCAGCGAAAUGCGAUACGUAAUGUGAAUUGCAGAAUUCAGUGAAUCAUCGAAUCUUUGAACGCAUAUUGCGCUCUUUGGUAUUCCGAAGAGCAUGCUUGUUUGAGUAUCAGUAAACACCUCAAAGCUUUUGGAUUUUUUAAUCGAAAAGCUUUGGACUUGAGCAAUCCCAACACCAAUCUUUUUGAGAUCGGUGGCGGGUUGCUUGAAAUGCAGGUGCAGCUGGACAUUCUCCUGAGCUAAAAUCAUAUUCAUUUAGUCCCGUCAAACGUAUUAUUACUUUUGCUGCAGCUAACAUAAAGGGAGUUUGACCGUAUUGGCUGACUGAUGCAGGAUUUCACAAGGGUCGGCAACGAUUCUUGUUAAACUCGAUCUCAAAUCAAGUAAGGCUACCCGCUGAACUUAAGCAUAUCAAUAAGCGGAGGA
RNAcentral lists this unclassified non-coding RNA (434 nucleotides) under soil metagenome. RNAcentral's name for it is "partial contains 5.8S ribosomal RNA, internal transcribed spacer 2, and large subunit ribosomal RNA". The stretch from base 1 to 120 matches the Rfam family "5.8S ribosomal RNA", at positions 35 to 154 of the family's 154-position model. The record is from RNAcentral.